CAGUGACCCUGUUCAACGGCCGCGGUAUCCUAACCGUGCGAAGGUAGCGUAAUCACUUGUCUUUUAAAUAGGGACUAGUAUGAAAGGCAUCACGAAGGCUAAACUGUCUCCUCUCUCUAAUCAGUGAACCUAAUCUCCCCGUGAAGAAGCGGGGAUUCCUAUAUAAGACGAGAAGACCCUAUGGAGCUUUAAACACAUAACACUGCCACAACUUACAACUACCCAGGUAUUUUUCCCCUCACAGCACACUGAUUAAGAGUUUUCGGUUGGGGUGACCGCGGAGAAAAACCCAUCCUCCACAAUGAAAGGGGACUCCCCUAAACAAUAAGUUACAACUUUAUGUAUCAACAAUUUGACAUCUAUUGACCCAACAAAUUGAUCAACGAACCAAGUUACCCUAGGGAUAACAGCGCAAUCCACUUUGAGAGCCCCUAUCGACAAGUGGGCUUACGACCUCGAUGUUGGAUCGGGAUGACCUAGUGGUGCAGCCGCUACUAAAGGUUCGUUUGUUCAACGAUUAAAAUCCCACGUGAUCUGAGUUCAGACCGGA
RNAcentral lists this ribosomal RNA (550 nucleotides) under Pristimantis sp. n. HMOA-2020. RNAcentral describes it as "partial large subunit ribosomal RNA". It matches the Rfam family "Bacterial large subunit ribosomal RNA", at positions 1912 to 2620 of the family's 2925-position model. The record is from RNAcentral. Lineage: Eukaryota; Metazoa; Chordata; Amphibia; Anura; Strabomantidae.